GUUUUUGAAUACACUGACAAUGAUAACCAGCAAUGCCUUGAGCAUGCUUGUAGCGUACGACGUGUACGGGAACAAGACCUCCUCGUGGACCCUACCAAAGACAGAGCGGGACGGGUUUUGGGAAGCUUCCGGGUCGGGAGGAAACAUGGGUUUCAGUGGCGGGUUCCCCUCCAAUUUAACGGCGGAUGUGACUGUUACCAAGGAUGGGAAUGCCGGGAGCUAUAAAACGGUGCAGGAGGCUGUAAAUGCGGCGUCGGAUAAUCAAGCCAGCCAAAAGUUUGUGGUGUACAUAAAGGCUGGGGUUUACAACGAGAUCGUUAGGAUCCCGUUACAGAAGAAGAAUGUCGUGCUCUUAGGAGAUGGGAUGGGUAAAACCGUAAUUACAGGGUCGUUGACUGUGAACGGUUCCGGUAUUUCCACUUACAACACG
This 430-nucleotide unclassified non-coding RNA is filed under the name Hevea brasiliensis (rubber tree). Lineage: Eukaryota; Viridiplantae; Streptophyta; Magnoliopsida; Malpighiales; Euphorbiaceae. The record is from RNAcentral.